This 468-nucleotide ribosomal RNA is filed under the name uncultured bacterium. Its description in RNAcentral is "partial 16S ribosomal RNA". It matches the Rfam family "Bacterial small subunit ribosomal RNA", at positions 28 to 507 of the family's 1533-position model. The record is from RNAcentral.
GAUGAACGCUGGCGGCGUGCUUAACACAUGCAAGUCGAACGGUGAAGGCGGAGCUUGCUCUGCUGGAUCAGUGGCGAACGGGUGAGUAACACGUGAGCAGUCUGCCCCUGACUCUGGGAUAAGCGCUGGAAACGGCGUCUAAUACUGGAUACGAGCUGCGAAGGCAUCUUCAGCAGCUGGAAAGAAUUUCGGUCAGGGAUGAGCUCGCGGCCUAUCAGCUUGUUGGUGAGGUAAUGGCUCACCAAGGCGUCGACGGGUAGCCGGCCUGAGAGGGUGACCGGCCACACUGGGACUGAGACACGGCCCAGACUCCUACGGGAGGCAGCAGUGGGGAAUAUUGCACAAUGGGCGAAAGCCUGAUGCAGCAACGCCGCGUGAGGGACGACGGCCUUCGGGUUGUAAACCUCUUUUAGCAGGGAAGAAGCGAAAGUGACGGUACCUGCAGAAAAAGCGCCGGCUAACUACGUG